UAGUUAAUAGGCAUGCAAUCUUAAAA
Molecule: unclassified non-coding RNA, 26 nt
Filed under: Mus musculus (house mouse)
Lineage: Eukaryota; Metazoa; Chordata; Mammalia; Rodentia; Muridae
Description: oocyte_clustered_small_RNA13502
Source: RNAcentral